AGACAGUUUUUCAAUCAGAAUUUAUAUAAAGUUGAAGUGAUUUGUUAUUGGAACUAGCUCAAAUCGUUACCGCAGCGAUUAGUCAGUACAGAUAGUCAGUAGUCAGAAAACAGUAUUGAUUAAAAGUUCAUACAAUCAGUCAGAAGAAACCUGUUUCGGAUAAGGAGAAGGAAA
Aedes aegypti (yellow fever mosquito) is the source of this 174-nucleotide long non-coding RNA. RefSeq lists it as uncharacterized. The transcript has 3 exons. The record is from RefSeq and is a predicted model, not a curated record. Lineage: Eukaryota; Metazoa; Arthropoda; Insecta; Diptera; Culicidae.